UACAGAGGCCCCAAGCGUUACCCGGAAUUACUGGGCGUAAAGAGUGCGUAGGUGGUCGUAUUAGUCGUUUGUUAAAGACCCGGGCUCAACCCGGGGAUUGCGGGCGAAACGGUACGACUCGAGGGCGUGAGAGGUACAUGGAACUCAUGGUGUAGGGGUGAAAUCCGUUGAUAUCAUGGGGAACACCGAAAGCGAAGGCAAUGUACUGGCGCGUUCCUGACACUCAAGCACGAAAGCGUGGGUAGCGAACGGG
This 253-nucleotide unclassified non-coding RNA is filed under the name Candidatus Kaiserbacteria bacterium. RNAcentral describes it as "contains 16S-23S intergenic spacer region". It matches the Rfam family "Bacterial small subunit ribosomal RNA", at positions 524 to 776 of the family's 1533-position model. Lineage: Bacteria; Candidatus Kaiseribacteriota. The record is from RNAcentral.